UGGGGAAUAUUGCACAAUGGGCGCAAGCCUGAUGCAGCCAUGCCGCGUGUAUGAAGAAGGCCUUCGGGUUGUAAAGUACUUUCAGCGGGGAGGAAGGGAGUAAAGUUAAUACCUUUACUCAUUGACGUUACCCGCAGAAGAAGCACCGGCUAACUCCGUGCCAGCAGCCGCGGUAAUACGGAGGGUGCAAGCAUUAAUCGGAAUUACUGGGCGUAAAGCGCACGCAGGCGGUUUGUUAAGUCAGAUGUGAAAUCCCCGGGCUCAACCUGGGAACUGCAUCUGAUACUGGCAAGCUUGAGUCUCGUAGAGGGGGGUAGAAUUCCAGGUGUAGCGGUGAAAUGCGUAGAGGUCUGGAGGAAUACCGGUGGCGAAGGCGGCCCCCUGGACGAAGACUGACGCUCAAGUGCGAAAGCGUGGGGAGCAAACAGG
RNAcentral lists this ribosomal RNA (429 nucleotides) under Chloroflexota bacterium. Its description in RNAcentral is "Chloroflexi bacterium partial 16S ribosomal RNA". It matches the Rfam family "Bacterial small subunit ribosomal RNA", at positions 355 to 776 of the family's 1533-position model. Lineage: Bacteria; Bacillati; Chloroflexota. The record is from RNAcentral.